RNAcentral lists this ribosomal RNA (616 nucleotides) under uncultured bacterium. RNAcentral describes it as "bacterial SSU rRNA". It matches the Rfam family "Bacterial small subunit ribosomal RNA", at positions 338 to 945 of the family's 1533-position model. The record is from RNAcentral.
CCUACGGGAGGCAGCAGUAGGGAAUCUUCCGCAAUGGACGAAAGUCUGACGGAGCAACGCCGCGUGAACGAUGAAGGCCUUCGGGUCGUAAAGUUCUGUUGUUAGGGAAGAACAAGUGCUAGUUGAAUAAGCUGGCACCUUGACGGUACCUAACCAGAAAGCCACGGCUAACUACGUGCCAGCAGCCGCGGUAAUACGUAGGUGGCAAGCGUUGUCCGGAAUUAUUGGGCGUAAAGCGCGCGCAGGCGGUUUCUUAAGUCUGAUGUGAAAGCCCCCGGCUCAACCGGGGAGGGUCAUUGGAAACUGGGAAACUUGAGUGCAGAAGAGGAAAGUGGAAUUCCAAGUGUAGCGGUGAAAUGCGUAGAGAUUUGGAGGAACACCAGUGGCGAAGGCGACUUUCUGGUCUGUAACUGACGCUGAGGCGCGAAAGCGUGGGGAGCAAACAGGAUUAGAUACCCUGGUAGUCCACGCUGUAAACGAUGAGUGCUAAGUGUUAGAGGGUUUCCGCCCUUUAGUGCUGAAGUUAACGCAUUAAGCACUCCGCCUGGGGAUACGGUCGCAAGACUGAAACUCAAAGGAUUGACGGCUGAGACNGCGAGACGACGACGAGGGAGAG